Molecule: long non-coding RNA, 336 nt
Filed under: Homo sapiens (human)
Lineage: Eukaryota; Metazoa; Chordata; Mammalia; Primates; Hominidae
Description: DXZ4 associated non-coding transcript 2, distal (DANT2)
Source: RNAcentral
GGAGACACAGAAGAUGGAGGGAGGGAUGGCAGCCUACCCUGUGGCAACGCGGGAGUCGCGUUGCCGCAGGGGGCGCAUUGGGGUCCAGCCGUCCCCAGAACGCAGAUCAGAGGUAGUCGGACCUUUCCCGCUGGCGCGCAGCCUCAGCUAGGUGAGAGGCGUCUUCCCAAGACCAGACACUGCCGGUGCCCUGUCACCUCCCACUUUUUUUCUGGAACUGCUAGGGGCCCAGCGCUGCUUCUGCAGCCUUCCAGGGGAUGCUGCUGGUGGCGCGUAUGCCGCCUAGGUGGGUGGGGAUGUGCUGAGGCCGAAGGAGUGACAGCGACUCGCAGGUUU